ACGACUAUAGAUGGCUGGGUUUUUUCUCUAUUUCUUUACCUUGUUUCCCUCACUGUCACCUAGUUCUAUGUUGCUUAUUUUCUGUGUUCUCUAUGCUUGUGGUUCAGUUCUAGGAGUUGAACAGAAGGCUGAAUUUUGGCUAUUUUUGUUAUUACUCUUUGUAUCCAUUUCUUUUUGUAAAUAACAUUUACAAAUAGCCCCUUCUCAAUAAAGUUUAGUGGAAGCCUAUGGCUUCUUCGAU
This 241-nucleotide long non-coding RNA is filed under the name Elaeis guineensis (African oil palm). RNAcentral's name for it is "long non-coding RNA (EGUI_LNC028674)". Lineage: Eukaryota; Viridiplantae; Streptophyta; Magnoliopsida; Arecales; Arecaceae. The record is from RNAcentral.